ACCAUCCAAACAAACACACAUUUUUGCAUCACGUGGCCUUGUUUGGGCGAUAUGCAGCCUACCAAAUACGCCAGUAGAGUCCCAAUGGUAUGCCUAUACAAAGGAUGCAAGGAUGUUGAACCUUCUUAAGAAGUUGGACAAUUUCUCGCAUAUUUGAUUUUUCAUGUAGGCGACUCUAGGCGCCGGCCAACCGACCCAACUUUGGUUGGUCUCAUCCUGUGCUUCCCUCCAUCAACUCCCAACCGUUAGAUUAGAUGUGUUUCAUUUUCCACACCCCACAUCCUAACAUGCACAAGAUAAAAAGGGAGAAGGAGCAUAGAGUGCACCCUAGAACACCAAAUCUAUCCUGCAAUGCCUCCUGCCCGUGCGGCUUGGACCACCGGAGUCCCACAUGCCGCCUCAUGGUGAACGGUGCUCCAUUCCAACAAAAAUGACAUAGCGAUCCAGCACCAUGAGACCGUCGUUGUCAUCCUCAUGGAUUGUAUCUUGUUGUGCAUGUCGCAACGAUUGGGGCAACUAUUGUAAAAAUUGUCAUUACCCAUUCUACCAUGUGGUCGCCAUGGUUGCAACAUUCCUAGCGUCACCGCCUCUAGCUCGCCGCCGCCGCCUGCUCUCACCACCAUGUUCUAGCAAAAAAAACCAACAAUAAAAACCGGUGUCACGGAUCAUAGGAAAAACACCAAUUCCAGCAAAGACAUGACAUGUUCCAGCAAAAUAUGCAUCGCCGCGAUGGUCUUAACAAAAAUCUUGACAGAGCCAACAAAACUCUUGCUGGUUGUAGGUUUCUCGAAAUGCGAUUGCAACUUUUGCAGUUGGGCAGUGGUGGCACCCAGUAAUCAUGUCUCUAGUUGGAGCUUUUCCAAUCAUUGGUUGUGGAUUUCUGAGUCCUCGAUAGUAGCAAGUUGUGCCAAUGGUCCCAGUGUUUGUCUCUCGCCAUUGGAGCACACCGUGUCACAGCUCCCCGGUGUGGAUAGUCGCACCACACAGAGGUGCUGGUCCCAGCAUCCCUGCCUUGCAAUGGUACUCCUCCACGAUGGCUAUACCUAGCAACCCUGGCAUACCGCCCUUGCAAUGAGAGCAAAGGAAUCUUGAAACGUUAGGCAGCGGUGGUCGGUCGUGUGGCAGCAACGCCAACAAAAAUGUAUAUCUGCG
RNAcentral lists this long non-coding RNA (1152 nucleotides) under Hordeum vulgare. RNAcentral describes it as "long non-coding RNA (HVUL_LNC011926)". The record is from RNAcentral. Lineage: Eukaryota; Viridiplantae; Streptophyta; Magnoliopsida; Poales; Poaceae.